CCUGAUGCAGCGACGCCGCGUGAGGGAUGACGGCCUUCGGGUUGUAAACCUCUUUCAGUAGGGAAGAAGCGUAAGUGACGGUACCUGCAGAAGAAGCGCCGGCUAACUACGUGCCAGCAGCCGCGGUAAUACGUAGGGCGCAAGCGUUAUCCGGAAUUAUUGGGCGUAAAGAGCUCGUAGGCGGUUUGUCGCGUCUGCCGUGAAAGUCCGGGGCUCAACUCCGGAUCUGCGGUGGGUACGGGCAGACUAGAGUGAUGUAGGGGAGACUGGAAUUCCUGGUGUAGCGGUGAAAUGCGCAGAUAUCAGGAGGAACACCGAUGGCGAGGGCAGGUCUCUGGGCAUUAACUGACGCUGAGGAGCGUAAGCAUGGGGAGCGAACAGGAUUAGAUACCCUGGUAGUCCACGCCGUAAACGUUGGGCACUAGGUGUGGGGGACAUUCCACGUUUUCCGCGCCGUAGCUAACGCAUUAAGUGCCCCGCCUGGGGAGUACGGCCGCAAG
This 500-nucleotide ribosomal RNA is filed under the name uncultured Actinomycetes bacterium. RNAcentral's name for it is "bacterial SSU rRNA". It matches the Rfam family "Bacterial small subunit ribosomal RNA", at positions 382 to 892 of the family's 1533-position model. Lineage: Bacteria; Bacillati; Actinomycetota; Actinomycetes. The record is from RNAcentral.